Molecule: long non-coding RNA, 8574 nt
Filed under: Glycine max (soybean)
Lineage: Eukaryota; Viridiplantae; Streptophyta; Magnoliopsida; Fabales; Fabaceae
Description: long non-coding RNA (GMAX_LNC004489)
Source: RNAcentral
AACCAUAUAUGCAUCAAGGUUUGCUGCCAAUGCACUGCGAAAUUUGAGAGAAAAUAGCAGACACAAUAGAAUGCAACAGAGACUACUACCUCUGUUACCUCCAAAGCCAGCUGAACCAGAUUUCACUUCUCAGAAACACUAAUUUGCAAAUAGGAAUAAGUACAUGUUAAUGUUAUCCAUACUCCAUAGCUAUUUUGUGUGUAUAUUUUGGGAGGGUUGCUUAGGAAUUGCUUCAACAACUACAUGUGGAUAUGUAGGGGUAAUAUUUCAUCAAAAUUUAAUUAAACAAUCAUUUAGAUUACAAUUUUUUAAAUAACCGUCUAGUUAAUACUGCAAUAGUGACAGAAGUUUCCUUGAAAAUGUACUAAUCUUGAAUUUGAAAAUAUUUCUGGUUAAGGAUCAAGGAAGAGUAGCUAAAGAACAAAAAGCUUAGGUGCAUUUCCUGUAGAGUAGCCUUUCUAAUCCUCAAAUAAUUAGAUAUCAAGGUCACAAAUUACAACAUAGACCUUUGCCAUACUAUCUAAAAUAUCAUCUAAUAGUGAUGUUGGUAUCAUAUACACCAAAAACAUAUCUAUAAGAUAGGAUUAUCUACAUCUCAAAAUGAAGAGAUUUUCUCUAUAUUUAUUGCUACAUUUAUCCCUAUAGUUGGAUUACACUGGAGUAAAAAAAAAUACUUUCCAUCAAACGCAAUUGAGGCCUACCAAAAAGAUAAAAAAAAUUCAUGGAUAAGUCAAUAAAUCCCAUGUGGAAUUGUCUUAAAAUAUGAUGCGUUGACAAUUUUACAAUUAGAAGAGUAAAAUUUAUUUUUUAUGACGCACAUUAUCUUAUUCUAAGAUAAUGAUGAGAAACUGUAUUAAAAUAUACACUGGUGAUAAUUUUAUAAUUAGAGGAAAAAAACUACAACAAUUCUCGAUGAUAACUAUCGUCGUUUAAAUUUCCUGUAAUUAUGAAAUUAUGACCGGAUAAUCCACAAAUUCUGCUUGUAAGCUUGUAAGGUAGAGCUUUAACCUGUCUAAACUUGUAAAGUCAAUUAAGAUGGGAAGCACGAAACAAAUCAGCAAAUUCUCGAAAGAAACAACAUUUUAGAUUAUGGACACCCUCCACAAGUACCUGCAAAGUGGAACAAUAUCUUGCUCAAUUUCACGAGUCCAAAGGGAGCACUCCAUUUGCACAGCAGUAAUGGGAUGAACAGCAUGUGCCCUUCUAAUUGUGACAAGGCUAGCUUCCGACAAUCCAAUGUACCUUAUUUUUCCCUCUUGGACCAGCUUUUUAAGCACUCCCAUCUGCCAUUCAAAGAAAACCGAACAAACAUAUCAAAGACAGAGCCACCAAAUAAAUAAUCCUCACAUGAAGAAAAGUAACAAAAAAUGUUUGGUGGCACCACUCACAGUGUCUUCAAUGGGUACAGUGGUGUCAACAGGGUGCUGAUAAUAGAGAUCAAUGUAGCUGGCACCAAGGCGUUGGAGGCUACCCUCGCAACAGGACCGAACAUAUUCAGGGGAACCAUUCACUAUCACAGUAUUACCAUUUACCAUUCGGUUUUGUAUUGGAAAGAGUCUAAUGUUUGUUAAGAAGUAACUAAUUAUCACUGGUUAUUAAAGCUGACAAAGAAAUCAAACACAUUAUUAGUAUCGCAUAAGCAGCAUUCUUAGAUAAAAAUAUUGGAUCAGUAACGUGGUUUUGGGCUUACUGUUUUCUUUUCCCGGCCUUAUUUUCUCGAGUUUCAUUUUUUUUCCCUUAAAGAAUUCGGGAUGAAUUCAUUAUAUUUUCAAAUUAAUUUAAAAGAAACAAAAAUAGAAUACCGGGAGUUGAUUUUUAUUUAGAAGGAAAAAAUGUGUACAGAUAGCAGUUCAUUAAAUUGUGUGCAAAUUAACACAUUCAUCACAAAUAACACCAAACUUUAAUUUUAUCAUAAUUAACCAUAAAUUUUAUCAUAUUUACAAAAUAUAUAGACUUCAUAAACUUUUUUUUUUCAAUUUAUCCUAAAAAUUUACUAUUUUUGUAUUAUAAAAAAACACCAACUUUAAAUUCAUUCAAAUUAAUUUUUCAAAAUUAUCUUUUUUAAAAAUAGUUCUUUCUAUCAAGUCAUAGUGAAAUAUUUCAAAUAAUGUGUAUCAUUCGCUAAUUUUUUUCUUCUCUAUAUUAAUUCAUUUCAUUAUAUAUUAAAAUAUAUUAAAACGAUAAGUUGUCUUUAUUAACUUGAUUUUUGAUAAUUGUUAUGCAUACAUAAUUUUUAUAUUUAAAUCACAUAAUAAUUAUCUAUUUUUUUCUCUCUUUUAAUAUUUCUUUUGUGUUAAAAUAUUUGGGAUUUAGUUUCUUCUGGGUUUUAUUCUGUGAAUGUUAAAGUUAAUUAAUUUACAAUGUUUUUUUUUGUAGAAAUGACACACAGGGAGGCCUGGAAAAUAAUUGAAAAAUGGGAACACACCGAGUGCAACAGUCCCACUCAAGGCGACAUUAUCGCUCAAUACAAGAAGCCCCCUUAGCACAAGGAACCAACUUGAAAACCAAUUGUCACUUGAGAGCGCACUAAGGGUAGAUAAGCUUGUAAAUUGUUGUCUAAUCACUAUCGAUUUAUUUGGUUUGUUAUUUUUUUCUUCUAUAAUUAGUAUUAUUUAAGCAUUAAAAACAAGUGGAUCAAUUCUGGCCAACCCAAUGGUCAUAGGCAAUUAGGCUAGCUUGUUUUCAUCAUAAGACUCAUCAUGCUUGCCUUGCUCAUUUGACAUUUUUAGUCUUUUUCAAUAGAUUUUAACUUUAUUUUUAUCUAAAUCAUAAGUAUCUUUUAAUAAAAAUAAUUUUAUUUGAAUCAGAUAAAAUUAUUAUGAGUUAUAAAACUCUUCCUUUAACUAUUUCUUAAACUAAAACAACCUUACAUUAAUUGAGUUAUGCAUUUAGUGAUUGUCAAUAAAUUUUAACUGCAUAUAAUAGAUAAUAUAAAAUAAUCUUUUGGUAAAAUAAUAUAAAUAUAAAAUACAAUUUGAGAUUUACGACAUCACAGAAUUUUUUUAUCCUUAUUGGUGAUUUAAGGAGGAAGAAUCUCCCGAGGGCUUAGAGGCAAAGUCCCAUGUGGUGGCGUACGUGGUCGUAAUAUUGUGCAUAAAAUAUGAAAAAUUUGCUGUGUUUCAUUUUCUUAUUGUAUUGGCAUUUUCCGUGAAGUCUUGGUCGUUGCCUCUCCUCAGUUUCUGUGUUCUUUCUCAUGAACUCAGGUCAAAAUAAUGCAGCGUCGGCACUGCUUUUUUAAGGUGUGUCCGAGUGCACUGUCACACACGACGCGCGUACUAACAACAAAGCGUCCAUUGUUUCAUCAAUAUAACUUUGAAGACUGCAAACGCUCCCUCCAAGUCUACAAGUUAUAUAUUACUGCAUGUAAUCUAACUUUGCACAUUUAAAAUUGUUGUUUCCUUUUCCUUUUGUGAUAAAACAUACCAAACUCUUAUUUAUCUACCUUCUACUUCUCGCAAUUGUUCUUUUCCUUGGUUUUUCAGAAACUAAACACGGAGUCAUGUUGAUGUUUACUUGACUUUGCAAAUUGACUUCACUUGAAUUUAAAUAUCCUAGUCAUUGGUGGCUAUACUUUUGUAAAUUGUAACUUAAUUAAUUUAUAAUAUUGCUAAACAAAUCAUUGAUCCUUGCCUUUCCUACUUACAUAACGUCAGGAGGAGGAAAAUAAGUUUCUUAUUUGAUGUUGGAUUUUGCAGGCUUUAAUCUUCUGUUUCUGCGAAGCUUACCUGUUCUCACUGGAUGCUCAUGUAGCUUAAUCAUAAAUGCAAACGGACACAAAUUUGUGAGGUUCGGUUGUUCGAUCCUGGUGUUACUGCAUAUUUUCUACCGUUUUAAUUUUAGUAAUCUAGGUAGGUACACACGUUGCGAACCACUUCUGCUUUAUCUAUUUGUAAGUUAAUUUGCCCAUACUGCCUCAUUUAUUUUCUUUUAAAACAGGCUCACCUGCCUCAAAAAUUAAUGAAACUUAACUGUUUUAACUUUUGAUAGCUGCAUGUUUAUAAAGUUUGACAGAUUGACAUACUACAACUUUAUUCUAUGUUGCUUCGUCUUCCAAGUUGGGUAAUUACCAGUUUUAAAAUCAACCAUAAGAUCAGAGUCUGCUCUAUGUGGUUUGUGUUCUCUAUUUUGUUCAAGUUAAAACACUCUUCUACCUCUAGCCGCUAGUAACGAGAUUUGAUCAUGCUAUCAUUUUGAUUUUGGAGUAUGUAGUAGUCAAAGUCAACAAUUGAGGCGUCCCUUUGGAGACUUGAUCAUAACUCAUGUGAUUUUCGUAAUCGUUAGAAAGUAACUUAUAUGAUAUAUCGAUCUGAUACAUCAUACAUUCAUACAUAAUCACUAAGUUUAAAUUUCUCUCCAUCCAGGUUGGAGGACGGGAAAUCAGAGCCGUCUUUUAGUAUAGAGAUAGAAGAUUUUGUUAAUGAUGUACAUAACGAAAAGAAAAGUUAGACCAAGUGUGAGUGCUGUUUUUUGAAGAGUAUAGGAGGAAGGCUGGAAAAGAUGAAGAACUGGAGGAGAGAUUCAGAUAUCCUUCCUGUAACUGUAAGUGAUGGAAAGAGAACUAUGAAGAAAAUUUUUGAUCCACAGGAACCACUCCUUCAGAAAUGGAACAAAAUCUUUGUAAUAAUGUGCAUAUUGUCAGUCGCAUUGGACCCACUCUUCUUUUACAUUCCAGUGAUUAAUGAAGAUAAAAAAUGCCUUCAUUUGGAUGGAGCAUCGAAGAUCACUGUCUGUGUCUGUGUUCUUCGGACUUUCUUUGAUCUAUUUUACAUUCUUCGCAUAAUCUUUCAGUUUAAGACAGGUUUCAAGACCCCUUUUUCUCGUGUUUUUGGAAGGGAUGAGCUCAUUCAUGAUCCUGUGCCUAUAAUGAAAAGAUACUUAACUUCACACUUCAUCAUUGAUAUUCUAUCAAUUAUUCCACUUCCGCAGGUAUCUCCCUCUUAAAUUCUUAAAUAUAUUUAUUUUCUGAUGGUAAGUACUAAGUAGCCAAAAUGUAUUUUCCAGUUCGGUUUGAUGUGAAAGACAUGAUAAUUUGAUGUCGUGUUAGACACUGUAGGUGAUUUUUUUAGCCAUUCCAAACCUGAAAUCACCGGAUCCAUUAGUAGUAAAGGAUUUGUUGAAGUAUUCAGUAUUGAUCUUGUAUGUGCCAAGGCUGUGGCGGAUCUAUCCACUAUACCAAGAAGUAAAGAAAACUAUUGGAAUAUUCACUGAGAAAGCAUGGGCUGGAGCUACCUUUAAUCUUUUUCUCUUUACCCUAGCAAGUCAUGUAAGCUUAUUUUUGUUCCUUGUCCAAAUCCAAUUUAUACAUGUUUCUAGGUAGUUAUCAUGCUGAGUUUUAUGAUAAAAAAAUAUACAUGUGGCUUAUCAGAUGGUUGGAGCCGUCUGGUACAUGCUUUCUAUAGAGUCAGAGGUGUGGUGCUGGCGCAGAGAGUUGAAGAAUGCUUCACUCUUUCAUGAAGAAUACUUGAGUUGUGGACACGGCGAUCAAAAUGUCUUUCAACUUCUCAAUAAAACUUGUUCUUUCAUUGACCCUGAUAAAAUCAUAGACAAAAACACCUUCAAUUUUGGAAUAUUCUUUGAUGCUUUAGAUUCAGGUGUGGUAGAAUCUACAACAGAUCUUCAUCAGAAGUUCUUCUACUGCUUUUGGUGGGGUUUGCGCAAUUUAAGGUGGCCCAAUAAUCUAUUGUUUUUAUAUAUAUGAAAAUCCAACAUUCUUAUUUUAUGACCUAUAGAACUUCUAUAUCUUUAUCUAAUUUCGUUUCCUAUACUUCUAUGUAUUUAUUUGAGUUUGUAACAUCUUAUCAAGGAAAUGUUAGUGCAACCAAAAUUAAAAAUUGCCAUCUUUUGCAGUUCCCUUGGACAAAACCUCAAAACAAGUAUUAAUGUCAUAGAGAUAGCCUUUGCAAUCUUUAUUGCCAUUGUUGGAUUGGUUUUGUACUCAUUGCUUAUUGGAAACAUGCAGGUAAUUCGUAGUUUACCGAAAUGAAAUAAUGUAGGUGUUGAGGGACCAAGUUCAAGAAUGCUUUUCAUUUCAAGGUUUAAUACACAUUUUUGGAAAAUUUUAACUAGGUCACUUCACUAAAAACAUUUAUAAUUGGGUUCUUAAUCUUUUACCAUUUUUGUAAUUGGAUCCUGAAGUUAAUAAAACCACCACAAAUUGAUUAUUUUUCUAGUGGUUUCAAACAGUCACUGACUAACUCCAAGGAUCCAAUUACAAGAAAUUUACAAUACUAAGGAUCCAAUUACAAUUUGUUUAGUCCAAGGAACUAAUUAAAAAUUCUCAAAGAGUGUAAAGGACCUGACAUAUUAUACCUUAUUUCAAAAAAUAAUAAAGUUUUUCAGAAGCUGGGGCAUGGCCAGAUGAAGCAACAUAUAUAGAACUAGUUAUCUCUAAUGUCUAUUUGAUUUAAAUACUUAUGUUAAGAAGUUGUCAUCCAAAAAUUCUUCCCUUUAUAGAUUGCUAAAUUGUUGAAUAUUGUUACAGAAAUAUCUUCAUCAAUAUACGCAAUCUAAAAACUUUAUAGAGGAAAAGAAGAGAAACUUUAUAGAGGAAAAGAAGAGAGUGAAGCGGAGACAUGAAAUAGAACUCUGGAUGUCCCACCGAAUGCUACCUGAGGACUUAAAGCAAAGAAUUAGACGUUUUGAACAUUACAAAUGGCAAGAAAAUAGCGGUGUUGACGAGGAGGCAUUAAUUCGUAACCUUCCUAAAGAUCUCAGAAGGGACACUAAGCGUCACCUUUGCUUAGCUUUAGUUAGAAGGGUGGGUAUCAUCCAUAAUCAUGAUUCCUCCCCAUCAAAUUAUUAUUAUUUUUUCUAACCAUAGUGCGUGUAAUAAACAUUUUUAUGUUCUUAUUUUAUUGCUUUAGGUGCCAAUGUUUGGAUUAAUGGAUCAGCAGUUGUUGGGUGCAAUGUGCGAUAGACUGAAGACAGUCCUUUAUGAUAAGCAUAGCUGCAUUGUUUGUGAAGGAGAUCCACUUGAUGAGAUGGUUUUCAUUAUGAGUGGAAAAGUUUAUUCUGUGACAACAAAUGGUGGAGGAUCUGGUUUCCUCAAGGCUGGUGACUUUUGUGGAGAGGAACUUCUGACAUGGGCUUUGGAUCCCAACUCCUCCUCAAAUCUACCCAUUUCAACCAGGACAGUACAAACUAUGUCAGAAGUUGAAGCCUUUGCUCUCAUGGCUGAUGACUUGAAGUUUGUUGUUUCCCAAUUUCGACACCUUCACAGCAAACAGCUCCAACAGGUUUUCAGGCAAGGCUUGAUAAUUUAUAUCAUGUCAAUUUCUUCUUUUUCCUCUUUGAUUAUGCAUCAUUACAAUUUGUUGAAUCGUGCUAGACAAUAGGAAACAAGGUGCAGAUAUAACUCAACCAUAAAUUUUGUUUCUGACUUCUGAGAGUAGUUUUCUUAUAUAAUCCCAUCAAAUUCAUUUUAAUAUCAAAUUAUAAAAACUUUAGCAAUAACAGAAGUCAUAAAAACCAUGUGAUGAACAACCUUAAAGUACUACUCGUUUUUCAUAUGAGCACAUGUGGGAUUAUUGUAAUGAUCUUAGAAUACAAUUCUCUUAUUUUUGUCGUAUUUUCUUUUUUUCAAAAAACUUUAUAACCUCAUCAAUUUUGCAAUGUGCUUGUUAUUCCAUGCAGGUUCUAUUCUUCACAGUGGAGGAGAUGGGCUGCUACUUUCAUACAAGCAGCUUGGCGUCGAUACUGGAAAAAGAAGAUUGAGAGGUCAUUGCGCGAAGCAGAAGAUGAGCUACAAGAUGCUUUUGCAAAUGAGGAAGGGUCUAGUCUAAGCCUUGGUGCAACCAUAUAUGCAUCAAGGUAAUUUGCUGCCAAUGCACUCGAAAUUUGAGAGAAAAUAGCAGACACAAUAGAAUGCAACAGAGACUACUACCUCUGUUACCUCAAAAGCCAGCUGAACCAGAUUUCACUUCUCGGAAACACUAACUUGCAAAUAGGAAUAAGGACAUGUUAAUGUUAACAUACUCAUGGGAGCCAAAAUUUAUUGUAAUGUAAUUUUUCCUUAAUAUCUAUUUAAUGUAAUGUUAAUUUUUAUUGUUUCUUUGAUGUGUUUUAUUAUUAUUAUUUAACGCAAUGUUAAUUUUUAUUAUUUCUUUCAUAUGUUUUAUUGUUAUUGUAUGACCUAAUCAUCCAUGCAUUUGUUGACAAAUUAACUUAAGAAGUUCUUUUUACAAACUAAUUAUCUAAAAGGGUCUAUUUUGAAACUUAUUCCUAGGUGUCUAUUUCUAUAACCAUUUCACCUUCAAAGCUGGUGAAACAUCAAGAACAGUAGCGUUUCGCUGUCUAAACUGACAAAACACAAUGGGAGUGAAUUUCAUCAUCCUCAUUGGCGAAAUCGGUGGUGCAGUCCCAUUUCGCCAUCCUUGUUGACGAAAUAGGUACAAUCAUUCUUAAAAGGUGUUACCGCAAGACAAAGAAGAUGAAGCUUUUCCUAUAUACUAAUAAAUUGUUCAAACAUGUGAACGUAUGAGCAUUUGAUAUAUAACACUUAUAACAAAACAAAUAUAUAACACUACCACGUUGUAAAAAAAACUCCAAGAAAAUAUUGACAUUAGAGAAGCAGCU